RNAcentral lists this long non-coding RNA (214 nucleotides) under Elaeis guineensis (African oil palm). RNAcentral's name for it is "long non-coding RNA (EGUI_LNC059347)". Lineage: Eukaryota; Viridiplantae; Streptophyta; Magnoliopsida; Arecales; Arecaceae. The record is from RNAcentral.
GUCUUAAGGGUUUGGGAAGAGAAAAUAAAUUAGAAUAAAAUUAUUUUUUUUCAUCUUUCUUCUACCUCUUCAUCUCCUCAAUUCAUAUUCAACCUCUAAAAAAAUUUUAGAGAUUUGAAGAAAGGAUCCAAAUCAACCAAGAAGAAGGUCUUUAUGCGAGCGAGCACUCCUGAGAAGACCGAUCAGAUCGGGGCUUCGAGUGGAUUUCUCGUAG